UGGGGAAUAUUGCACAAUGGGGGAAACCCUGAUGCAGCGACGCCGCGUGAGCGAAGAAGGUUUUCGAAUCGUAAAGCUCUGUCCUAUGAGAAGAUAAUGACGGUACCCUGUGAGGAAGCCCCGGCUAACUACGUUCCAGCAGCCGCGGUAAUACGCAGGCGGCUAGCGUUAUCCGGAUUUACUGGGCGUAAAGGGUGCGUAGGUGGUCUUUCAAGUCGGUGGUUAAAGGCUACGGCUCAACCGUAGUUAGCCUCCGAAACUGGAAGACUUGAGUGCAGGAGAGGAAAGUGGAAUGCCCAGUGUAGCGGUGAAAUGCGUAGAUAUUGGGAGGAACACCGAUAGCGAAGGCGGCUUUCUAGACUGCAACUGACACUGAGGCACGAAAGCGUGGGUAGCAAACAGG
This 403-nucleotide ribosomal RNA is filed under the name Verrucomicrobiota bacterium. RNAcentral describes it as "Verrucomicrobia bacterium partial 16S ribosomal RNA". It matches the Rfam family "Bacterial small subunit ribosomal RNA", at positions 355 to 776 of the family's 1533-position model. The record is from RNAcentral. Lineage: Bacteria; Pseudomonadati; Verrucomicrobiota.